UACGUAGGGUGCAAGCGUUAAUCGGAAUUACUGGGCGUAAAGCGUGCGCAGGCGGUUUUGUAAGUCUGACGUGAAAUCCCCGGGCUCAACCUGGGAAUUGCGUUGGAGACUGCAAGGCUAGAGUUUGGCAGAGGGGGUAGAAUUCCACGUGUAGCAGUGAAAUGCGUAGAUAUGUGGAGGAACACCGAUGGCGAAGGCAGCCCCCUGGGUCAAGACUGACGCUCAUGCACGAAAGCGUGGGGAGCAAACAGG
RNAcentral lists this ribosomal RNA (252 nucleotides) under uncultured bacterium. RNAcentral describes it as "partial 16S ribosomal RNA". It matches the Rfam family "Bacterial small subunit ribosomal RNA", at positions 524 to 776 of the family's 1533-position model. The record is from RNAcentral.